This is a long non-coding RNA of Cyprinus carpio carpio, 3052 nucleotides long. NCBI's taxonomy places the organism in Eukaryota, Metazoa, Chordata, Actinopteri, Cypriniformes, Cyprinidae. The record is from Ensembl.
GCUUUAUUCUCUUCUCUGGAACAUUUUAACGCAAAAAAAAAAAAUAUAUAUAUAUAUAUAUAUAUAUAUAUAUAUAUAUAUAUGGCUUGUAUGCUUGUAUUUACUUGCACAAAUGCAGAUCUAGUUCUGACGGUGUGUUAUGUCUUUUUCUAGGCUCUGUAGGUUUGGUUUAUUUUAAAUGUACAUAAUAAGCUAGGGAAUGACUGAAGGACCUAGCAGAGAAGUCAAAUGGCCCCACACAGAUGUUACAACUCUACACUUUGCGAUCCAUUAUCAAGGGAGAAACUGCACUCACUGCAGGAAAAAAAAAAUCAAUACCUACUUCAGAACUAACUGCACUUGCAGGUACAUUUCAAGAAAAAGUGGCAAUAAGUGAGGGGGGAAACAGGGUCUGGAAAUGCCGCAAGUUGGAUUCAAGCCCAUGUAACCCACAUAAGCACCACAGCUGAGUAUGUCGGUGCAUGUACUGUAUGUCACAACAUGUGUCAAAAUACUGUUUGUGCUAACCAAUAGGCCACUCUGACAUCUAGCAAGUCAUUGGUAUUUUACGAAACAGAAAUAGAUUAGAACAGGUAACUGGGAUUUGAAAUAGUUGCAAGUUGAAUUCAAACCAAUGUAGUCCACAUGAGGCUCAGUGUGUCAAAGUAAGUACACUAACUGAUGCGUCGCCGCUCUAACAUUUAGAAAACAUUUUACCCUUUUAUCCUUGUAGACUUUUUUGCUUAUUAAAUUUUCAAGAAAUUAGCUGGAGACACAUGAAUAGGAAUAGUUGCGAGCCAAAUUCGAACCUGUGUAGCCUGCAAGAGCACCACAGCUCAGUGUAUUAAAAUAUGUGUUAGCUCUUUGGCGACUCUGACAUCUAGUAAAUUGUCAGUAUUCCCAGGUACAUUAGAGAAGAGACAAGAAAUGAGAUGGGGAAUGGGAUUAGAAAUUGUUGCAAGCCAGAUUCAAACCAGUGUAGUUUAUAUAAGGUCAAUGUGUGCACUAAUGUCUAGGCCAUUACUCUGACAUCUAGAACAUUUUUAAACCCUUUUCCAUAUAUGUAUUUACAUUAAACUAGCUGGAGAACAUGAUUAGGAUUAGUUGCAAGCUAAAUUCAAACCAUUGUAGCCCGUAUAAGGCUCAAUGACUACUGUGUUGAAGUACAGUAAGUGUGUUGACCACUAGGCCAUGGCUCUGACAUCUAGAAAACAAUUGAACAUUUCAGCCAUUAAGCCCUUAUCCCUAUGCUCAUAAGAUUUCCAGAAAAUGAGCUGGAGAGCACGAUUAAGAAUAGUUUUGAGCAAAAUUCAAACCAGCCCGCGUGAGCAUCAUAGCUCAGUGUUCCAUUGUUGCUACUUUAUAUGUAACAGGCUGACAAAGUUUCAACCCUAACCAGACUCAAAUUAGGGCAUCUGGAAUAAAGCAUAGGUUUAAGAUGAACCUAAAUUUCAUUGUCCAUGUUUUACUCUGGCUUGCGGACAGUCCAUGUGACAUAAUUUUCAUCAUCAGCACAUUCUGCUAAUGUCUGUGCACAGAAUCUAUUGGCACUAGUGCACAUGCGAGUGCACUUAAACACAAAAGGUCCACUAGGUAGCACGUACACAUAUAUGCUCUCAGUCAAUGGGGUGUACUUUGAAUGGCUUGCACCUUCAACUAUGUGUUAGAUGGAGCAGAACAAGGAAAAUUAAGCAUACCUGGGCCUUUAGUGAAUGCUAAAUGCUAGGCCACAGCUUUGCCAUAUAGUAAUCUGUAUUAGUUUAACAGACAUGCCCUAAUUACUUAUUGCAAAAUAUAAAGUUCUUACUUCGAAAACCUAAUGACUGUGGCUGCUACCACGUUUGCUGAUUAGACUGCAAGAUUGGACAUAUCUGUCCCUGCCCUCUAUCAGUCAAAAACGCAUAAACCGAGUCUGCAAGUAUGCAGUUUCAGCAGAACACCAACUAUAAAAACACACUCCCUCCUGCCUCAUCAAGACCUUCCUAGAACAUUCCUCUGCUGUUCCUCCUCUGGGUCACUGAAUGGCCAGUUCAUCCAGCCGGGGGGGAAUAUAAUCCUCCACAACUGAGGCAUUUUCUGAGCUCGCCUGUCUGUGAAAAGCUGUGAGAUUACUGGAACUAUUUUAAAGCUCAUUAACUUUGUGGUCACAUUUCCGUUUUAAUUUGCUUCAAAACAUCAACUGCAACUUGAUAGAUGCUAUGCUGCUUUAUCUCUCAGGCCCACAUAGAUGAGGUGAAGCGGGUGCCACGUGAUACAUGACAUUAUUAAACAAACUCGGAGAUGGUACCCAAACACCACACUCUCGGCGCACAGGGGACAGCAGCUGUCUGUUCAGGAGGGGAUGCAGAGUUGUUUAUAUGCAGGACCUGGACAAGUAAGGUAAGGUGUUGUGGGUGUGUGGGCACAUAAGAAAAUGUAUUGUUCAGCCAUCAAAAAAUAUUUGACAGGUAUCUCAGAAUUUUGUGGUAUCUUUUGCUGAAACCAGUAAUAUUAAGGCACUGAUUUGUGUUGUUUGCGUACUUGUGCUGUAUGUACUUGUGCAGUACUUGCGUACUUGUAUAGAGUACUGUAUGUUUUGGGCCUUAAAGUGAGAGUUUACCCUAAAAAGAAAAGUCUGUCAUUAUUUUUUAUCUCUCGUCAAUUCCAAAAUGUAUAUCUUCCUUUUGCAGAACACAAAAUAAGAUAUUUCAUAAAAUGUUGUGUCUUUUUUGUUCAUAAAACAAAAAGUCAGGAGUGUCCAAUCCUGCCCCGCCUUCCUUUCCCCUCAACCCCAAAUAAACACACCUGAACCUGCUAAUCAAGUUCUUUGGGACCACCAGGCAGGUGUAUUUGAGCAGGAAAGUGGUCCUCCAUGAGCAUGCUUGGACACCCCCAAUGUCAACAGGGUUCUGUGUUUGGACCCCUUUGAAUUUAAUUUUCUAAGCAACAGUUGAAACAUUCUUUAAAAUAUCUUAAUUUGCGGGACCAAAUUGAAAUACCAAAGAGAUUUUUGUGUGAUCUUACAAUUUUUGGGAGCUCACAUUGUUUUUAAACAACAUCACAAAUGUGCAUGAAAAAUUAAAAAGAAACAUGC